CUUCGUGAUGACAAAAGGCCUAGACGGCCUGAUUUUUUAAACCCAGCUCUUCGAAUGCCUCAUUAUACAACGCUCGAGUGCAUACUGAGACCAAAAAUCAUCUGACUCC
Molecule: small nucleolar RNA, 109 nt
Filed under: Escovopsis weberi
Lineage: Eukaryota; Fungi; Ascomycota; Sordariomycetes; Hypocreales; Hypocreaceae
Description: A. fumigatus snoRNA Afu_304
Rfam family: A. fumigatus snoRNA Afu_304
Source: Rfam by way of RNAcentral